Molecule: long non-coding RNA, 207 nt
Filed under: Elaeis guineensis (African oil palm)
Lineage: Eukaryota; Viridiplantae; Streptophyta; Magnoliopsida; Arecales; Arecaceae
Description: long non-coding RNA (EGUI_LNC078373)
Source: RNAcentral
GCCGCAUGCCCACGGGGAGGAGACUAUUUUCAGCCCCUUUCUAACCAUCUUGAUCGGCCCACAUGGUAACAAAAUAGCUAAGAAAUGUGACUAAGUAAAUCAAAUCAGAUUUAUUUAGAUUUGGGUCAAUUCAAAUCUGAUUUGAACUAAUUUCGAAAAGACUGCUAAUCCUAAUCCAAUUAGGAUUCUUAUUCAAUUCCAACUUGA